This 440-nucleotide ribosomal RNA is filed under the name uncultured bacterium. RNAcentral's name for it is "bacterial SSU rRNA". It matches the Rfam family "Bacterial small subunit ribosomal RNA", at positions 338 to 795 of the family's 1533-position model. The record is from RNAcentral.
CCUACGGGAGGCUGCAGUGGGGAAUAUUGCACAAUGGGGGAAACCCUGAUGCAGCGACGCCGCGUGAGCGAUGAAGUAUUUCGGUAUGUAAAGCUCUAUCAGCAGGGAAGAAACUGACGGUACCUGACUAAGAAGCACCGGCUAAAUACGUGCCAGCAGCCGCGGUAAUACGUAUGGUGCAAGCGUUAUCCGGAUUUACUGGGUGUAAAGGGAGCGUAGACGGACUUGCAAGUCUGAAGUGAAAGCCCGGGGCUCAACCCCGGGACUGCUUUGGAAACUGUAGGUCUAGAGUGCUGGAGAGGUAAGUGGAAUUCCUAGUGUAGCGGUGAAAUGCGUAGAUAUUAGGAGGAACACCAGUGGCGAAGGCGGCUUACUGGACAGUAACUGACGUUGAGGCUCGAAAGCGUGGGGAGCAAACAGGAUUAGAUACCCCGGUAGUC